RNAcentral lists this ribosomal RNA (777 nucleotides) under uncultured Neocallimastigales. RNAcentral describes it as "partial large subunit ribosomal RNA". It matches the Rfam family "Eukaryotic large subunit ribosomal RNA", at positions 23 to 647 of the family's 3401-position model. The record is from RNAcentral. Lineage: Eukaryota; Fungi; Neocallimastigomycota; Neocallimastigomycetes; Neocallimastigales.
AUAGAGACUCAGAGCUGCAUAUCAAUAAGCGGAGGAAAAGAAACUAACAAGGAUUCCCUUAGUAACGGCGAGUGAAGCGGGAAGAGCUCAAAUUUGAAAUCUUCAAGGUUCUACCUUGACGAAUUGUAGUUUAUAAGAAGUGUUUUCUGUUAGUAGGAGUGGCAAAAGUUCUUUGGAAUAGGACAUCAUAGAGGGUGAGAAUCCCGUAUUUGGUCAUUCUUUCUAGCUUUGUGAUACACUUUCAACGAGUCGGAUUGUUUGGGAAUGCAGUCCAAAAUGGGUGGUAAAUUUCAUCUAAAGCUAAAUAUUGGCGAGAGACCGAUAGCGAACAAGUACCGUGAGGGAAAGAUGAAAAGAACUUUGAAAAGAGAGUUAAACAGUACGUGAAAUUGUCAAAAGGGAAGCGUUUGACACCAGUGUUGUUUUUCCGAAAAUCAAUUGACGAAUGUUUUAUUUUUGAGGAGUUAUGACUUCAUCGGCUUGCUUCUCUCUUUAUGAAACUUUCUUAAUGCACUUUUCGGUUAACAAGUCAACAUCAAUUUCUUUUGUUGUAAAAGAGUAUGAGGAAGGUGGCUUUCUUUUCGGAGAAAGUGUUUAUAGCCUUGUACCUCUGCAAUCGGAGAGAUUGAGGUCUGCAGCGUAGAUCCUUCGGGGUUAGAUACAUUUGUGCUAAGUUAUAGCUUUUCAUAGACAACUUGUUGACUAUGUUUAGUCUUGUAGCUUACUCGCUUAUGCUAUUUUACCUACGCUUAGGAUGUUGACGAGACUGUCGAUCUC